CUAGAUUUCGUUAAAGAUAUAUCAUCCUGCGUUCGGGACGCAGAGAUCGGAGGUUCAAAUCCUCUCAUCCCGACCA
This 76-nucleotide transfer RNA is filed under the name Desulfovibrio sp. Its description in RNAcentral is "tRNA-Pro". The record is from RNAcentral. Lineage: Bacteria; Pseudomonadati; Thermodesulfobacteriota; Desulfovibrionia; Desulfovibrionales; Desulfovibrionaceae.